Molecule: non-coding RNA, 878 nt
Organism: Camellia sinensis
Lineage: Eukaryota; Viridiplantae; Streptophyta; Magnoliopsida; Ericales; Theaceae
Source: RefSeq, a predicted model, not a curated record
AAAACAUGGCAAAGGUUAAGAAACCUAGGCAUGCUUCAUGAUGCGAUUCCUUAUCCCAACAACAGAGUUAAUCAUCCCAUGCAUGUCAAGGUAGCCCGAAGACACUUCAGUACCACUACUUGGGGACGCCCAACUUCUAAUUCACUUAGGACAAAGGCAGUUGGAGCUUUGAAGACAAAUUCUGUAUUGGGUUCAAGACUUCACGUCUGUAACUACGAGCUUGGUAUCGUUUUCAUUGUUUCACCAUCAGAUGCAAACAGUAGUCCCAACCAUAAGAGUCUGAGUUUGGAUGAUAUUAUAUUGCCAUUUGUCGUGCCUGCCCCGAAAUAUAAACCCAGUGACACACCAGCAACAAAACAGGCUAUGAGAGAAGCAUUGGCUGAAUGUGAGAGAAGAUAUCUAUGGAAGCAGUUGCAUUCGAAGAAUUGAUGGAAGAAAAAGAAGAGAUCGCAGAUGAAAAAGAGGAAGUGUUGGAGGCAGCUGAUUAUGUCACAAAGGAGAGGGAAGAUAAGAAAGCUUAUGCUGAUAUAUUGUGGAGCCAAAGUUGAUUCAUUUGAGCUUCUGAUUAAAUUGCUUGUUGAGAGGAAAGUAAUAAAUGGCUUGAAAUGUUCAUGUAUGUACUUCCUCCAGAGCUGUCAUGGAGAAAUGUAAAAUCUAGAAUGUUGUAUUCUCUAGUUGUAUUCUCUAGGAUUGUAGCAUUUUAAGAUGUGAUGCUUUGGGGGUUUGAAGGGUUGGUGUACCAAAGGACUAUUCUUUUCAUUGGUUUCUGAUUGUACUGGGGGUUGAGUAGGUCUUUAGAUUUCCAUUGUUUAUAUACUAGUGGCAUUAACAAAAAUAAAGGAUAAAUGAGAUUGCAAGAAAGUGUUGAUCUGCCUUCA